ACAGAUCUUGCAAAUGGAUUGUGUAAGACAGAGUGUGGAAGAGGAGGCUGUGAUCAGUGGCUUGGAGAGCAGAGUGUGGUCAGGCGCUAAACCUAAGGCUUUUCUGGGAAGAGCUGUUAAGAUUAGACUGUUCUCCCAAAAAGCCAAUAAUUCUGAGUGUCUCCAUUAAUGCCUAGGUAGCCCAUACUCUCACCCAGCCGGUGCCCUUCAGCCUGGAACCUUUGGAUGGAGGAUUGGACCUUGUGACCUUCAAGUUCCCUUCCGAACCAAAUAUGCUCUAACCCAGGAGAUGGUGCUGUUGCCCAGGAAGCCGGUCACCAUGACGAGAGUACCCGCUCAGAUGAGGAUGCAGGCGGAGGCGGUGAAGGUGCUGGAGGCCAGGAUGCUGAGGUACCUCCAGACACCACCCAGGCUGCAGCAAAUGGAAUGGGAGAGGCUAACACACCAUAAUUUUUCAAUUCCAUGAUGCCCAUUUUUUCUCACAUUUUAACGUCUCUAAAAUUGGGGCACAUCUUAUGAUUGAUGGCAUCUUACAAUUACACUUGGCAGUACUUUUUCUUGGUGAUACAAAAAAACAACAGUGUAUCUUACAACUGAUAGCUUAGAUUCAGUGAAAUCCUAGAAUACAACAGGUUUGAAAA
This 641-nucleotide long non-coding RNA is filed under the name Homo sapiens (human). RNAcentral describes it as "long intergenic non-protein coding RNA 2827". Lineage: Eukaryota; Metazoa; Chordata; Mammalia; Primates; Hominidae. The record is from RNAcentral.